Belonocnema kinseyi is the source of this 228-nucleotide long non-coding RNA. RefSeq lists it as uncharacterized. The transcript has 2 exons. Lineage: Eukaryota; Metazoa; Arthropoda; Insecta; Hymenoptera; Cynipidae. The record is from RefSeq and is a predicted model, not a curated record.
GUUGCGCACGUGUAUAAAGCGCAUCUUCACGCGCAUCGCGCUCUCAUAUAUAGUAGAAAUAGUCAACUAUAAACUAGUUUUUAUUUUCAAAUUUUAUUCAGUGAUCUUUGGACGUUCAAGUACUGGAUUCGAUAAAAGUGCUGACACAAGAAGCCGUGCUCAAGAGCGAUGAAGAAGAAAGGAAGAAUAGAGGUUCUUUGGGGAAUAUUCACUCUUGCAAUGUGUCUG